RNAcentral lists this ribosomal RNA (759 nucleotides) under uncultured bacterium. RNAcentral describes it as "bacterial SSU rRNA". It matches the Rfam family "Bacterial small subunit ribosomal RNA", at positions 59 to 818 of the family's 1533-position model. The record is from RNAcentral.
CAGUCGAACGAAGCACUUAUCUUUGAUUCUUCGGAUGAAGAGAUUUGUGACUGAGUGGCGGACGGGUGAGUAACGCGUGGGUAACCCGCCUCAUACAGGGGGAUAACAGUUAGAAAUGACUGCUAAUACCGCAUAAGACCACGGAGCCGCAUGGCUCAGUGGGAAAAACUCCGGUGGUAUGAGAUGGACCCGCGUCUGAUUAGGUAGUUGGUGGGGUAACGGCCUACCAAGCCAACGAUCAGUAGCCGACCUGAGAGGGUGACCGGCCACAUUGGGACUGAGACACGGCCCAAACUCCUACGGGAGGCAGCAGUGGGGAAUAUUGCACAAUGGGGGAAACCCUGAUGCAGCGACGCCGCGUGAGCGAAGAAGUAUUUCGGUAUGUAAAGCUCUAUCAGCAGGGAAGAAAAUGACGGUACCUGACUAAGAAGCACCGGCUAAAUACGUGCCAGCAGCCGCGGUAAUACGUAUGGUGCAAGCGUUAUCCGGAUUUACUGGGUGUAAAGGGAGCGUAGACGGCUGUGUAAGUCUGAAGUGAAAGCCCGGGGCUCAACCCCGGGACUGCUUUGGAAACUAUGCAGCUAGAGUGUCGGAGAGGUAAGUGGAAUUCCCAGUGUAGCGGUGUAAUGCGUAGAUAUUGGGAGGAGCACCAGUGGCGAAGGCGGCUUACUGGACGAUGACUGACGUUGAGGCUCGAAAGCGUGGGGAGCAAACAGGAUUAGAUACCCUGGUAGUCCACGCCGUAAACGAUGACUACUA